RNAcentral lists this ribosomal RNA (205 nucleotides) under uncultured bacterium. Its description in RNAcentral is "partial 16S ribosomal RNA". It matches the Rfam family "Bacterial small subunit ribosomal RNA", at positions 568 to 774 of the family's 1533-position model. The record is from RNAcentral.
AGCGCAGGCGGUUUUUUAAGUCUGAUGUGAAAGCCUUCGGCUUAACCGAAGAAGUGCAUCGGAAACUGGGAAACUUGAGUGCAGAAGAGGACAGUGGAACUCCAUGUGUAGCGGUGAAAUGCGUAGAUAUUAGGAGGAACACCAGUGGCGAAGGCGACUUUCUGGACUGUAACUGACACUGAGGCUCGAAAGCAGGUAGUGAACG